This 76-nucleotide microRNA precursor is filed under the name Mus caroli (Ryukyu mouse). RNAcentral describes it as "miRNA (MGP_CAROLIEiJ_G0007681.1)". Lineage: Eukaryota; Metazoa; Chordata; Mammalia; Rodentia; Muridae. The record is from RNAcentral.
AAAACAGGGUUUAUCACUUCUUGGCCUUUUGCCUAAGAUCAAGGGUAGAAAGCAGGGUUUGUGGACCUGUUUAGAA